GCAAAUAUAGUUUAACAAAAACAUUAGAUUGUGAAUCUAAACAUAAAAGUUUAAAUCUUCUUAUAUGCC
RNAcentral lists this transfer RNA (69 nucleotides) under Monodelphis domestica (gray short-tailed opossum). It matches the Rfam family "tRNA". From Rfam's summary of the family: Transfer RNA (tRNA) molecules are approximately 80 nucleotides in length. Their secondary structure includes four short double-helical elements and three loops (D, anti-codon, and T loops). The record is from Rfam by way of RNAcentral. Lineage: Eukaryota; Metazoa; Chordata; Mammalia; Didelphimorphia; Didelphidae.